Delphinapterus leucas (beluga whale) is the source of this 984-nucleotide non-coding RNA. Lineage: Eukaryota; Metazoa; Chordata; Mammalia; Artiodactyla; Monodontidae. The record is from RefSeq and is a predicted model, not a curated record.
UGCAUCGGCAGGCGGACUCUCAACCACUGCGCCACCAGGGAAGCGCCCCUGCUAACGGUUUUUAAUAAGAGAGAACCCUGUCUGAUAAUCUGAAGAUUGGCAUCUAAUACAAUCAAACAUGGAGUGAAUCAGGAGUUAAAGAUGAUUCUAAAAGCUUGAUUGACUUAGAGAAUGGCACCUCCAUUGACUGAAAUAAGGAAGACACCGAGAAGAAUCCUUUGCCUGAUCUGAGAAAGAGAAAAUGGGAAGUGCUAAUGCUCUUUUUCUUCACAAUGAGGCAGGGACAAAGAGACGUCCCUGACACAUGAUAUUCAGUAAACACUGUCUAAACAAACAAACAUGUGACUAAGAGGCUGAGAGGACAUAGAAGAACCACAUGAUGUUGAAAGAAGAAUUUUAAAAAGUUAGACCAUAAACUUCUUGUUAAGGUCCAGGUGGUGGGUAGCCUCUGAGAUGACCUGCAGUGAUCCUCCUAUCCAGAAUUCUAGGGAUCCUCAGAUGUUGUGCUGCAAGAAGAGGAUAUGGAAACCUCCCAGAAUAAAUGCCUGUCUCUUUAAAGAAGAUGAAGAUGGUAACAGACUCAGAGGAGAGAAAUUACUGCCUGUUAUCCUUCAAAUUCCUCUUUGAAGACGUAUAUCUGGGAAAACCCAUCAAGUAGCUGAUCAAUAAAAGGAUGAAAGAAGGCAAAGCAGGACGAUAGCCUGGCUGUUUUGGUACCUAAGGACUGGGGAAAAUGCUGAAGCAUGUCUCUGAUUCAUAGCUUUUGGUAUGUACAACCAUAACGUGAGUAAAAAUUUAUGAGGCAGUUCUCCAAGGGUUAAUGAUGAAUAAGUGUAUAAAGUGUCAUUAGAGUCAGAGUGAGGACACGGAAGAGUAGACCAAAGCCGGCCAGUGGUCUGCACUAAAAAGGAGUCAAGCAGUUGUUGCCUGAGGUUGGGCUUCUGUGUUUGUGGGCCAGGCCCAUGUAAGAGAACGGAGCAGGCA